This 60-nucleotide transfer RNA is filed under the name Canis lupus familiaris (dog). RNAcentral's name for it is "partial tRNA-Leu". It matches the Rfam family "tRNA", at positions 1 to 61 of the family's 71-position model. Rfam says of the family: Transfer RNA (tRNA) molecules are approximately 80 nucleotides in length. Their secondary structure includes four short double-helical elements and three loops (D, anti-codon, and T loops). Further hydrogen bonds mediate the characteristic L-shaped molecular structure. tRNAs have two regions of fundamental functional importance: the anti-codon, which is responsible for specific mRNA codon recognition, and the 3' end, to which the tRNAs corresponding amino acid is attached (by aminoacyl-tRNA synthetases). tRNAs cope with the degeneracy of the genetic code in two manners: having more than one tRNA (with a specific anti-codon) for a particular amino acid; and 'wobble' base-pairing, i.e. permitting non-standard base-pairing at the 3rd anti-codon position. Lineage: Eukaryota; Metazoa; Chordata; Mammalia; Carnivora; Canidae. The record is from RNAcentral.
ACUUUUAUAGGAUAGAAGUNAUCCGUUGGUCUUAGGAACCAAAAAAUUGGUGCAACUCCA